GACGAACGCUGGUGGCGUGCCUAAUACAUGCAAGUUGAGCGCUGAAGGUUGGUACUUGUACCAACUGGAUGAGCAGCGAACGGGUGAGUAACGCGUGGGGAAUCUGCCUUUGAGCGGGGGACAACAUUUGGAAACGAAUGCUAAUACCGCAUAAAAACUUUAAACACAAGUUUUAAGUUUGAAAGAUGCAAUUGCAUCACUCAAAGAUGAUCCCGCGUUGUAUUAGCUAGUUGGUGAGGUAAAGGCUCACCAAGGCGAUGAUACAUAGCCGACCUGAGAGGGUGAUCGGCCACAUUGGGACUGAGACACGGCCCAAACUCCUACGGGAGGCAGCAGUAGGGAAUCUUAGGCAAUGGACGAAAGUCUGACCGAGCAACGCCGCGUGAGUGAAGAAGGUUGUCGGAUCGUAAAACUCUGUUGGUAGAGAAGAACGUUGGUGAGAGUGGAAAGCUCAUCAAGUGACGGUAACUACCCAGAAAGGGACGGCUAACUACGUG
RNAcentral lists this ribosomal RNA (497 nucleotides) under uncultured bacterium. RNAcentral describes it as "partial 16S ribosomal RNA". It matches the Rfam family "Bacterial small subunit ribosomal RNA", at positions 28 to 507 of the family's 1533-position model. The record is from RNAcentral.